ACCUGAUCCAGCAACGCCGCGUGAGGGAUGACGGCCUUCGGGUUGUAAACCUCUUUCAGUACCGACGAAGCGCCGAUGAUGGUGGUGACGGUAGGUACAGAAGAAGCACCGGCCAACUACGUGCCAGCAGCCGCGGUAAUACGUAGGGUGCGAGCGUCGUCCGGAAUUAUUGGGCGUAAAGGGCUCGUAGGCGGUUUGUCGCGUCGGGAGUGAAAACACCGGGCUUAACUCGGUGCUUGCUUCCGAUACGGGCAGACUAGAGGCAUGCAGGGGAGAACGGAAUUCCUGGUGUAGCGGUGAAAUGCGCAGAUAUCAGGAGGAACACCGGUGGCGAAGGCGGUUCUCUGGGCAUGUCCUGACGCUGAGGAGCGAAAGUGUGGGGAGCGAACAGGAUUAGAUACCCUGGUAGUCCACACCGUAAACGUUGGGCGCUAGGUGUGGGACCUAUUCCAUGGGUUCCGUGCCGCAGCUAACGCAUUAAGCGCCCCGCCUGGGGAGUACGGCCGCAAGGCUA
RNAcentral lists this ribosomal RNA (514 nucleotides) under uncultured Actinomycetes bacterium. RNAcentral describes it as "bacterial SSU rRNA". It matches the Rfam family "Bacterial small subunit ribosomal RNA", at positions 381 to 896 of the family's 1533-position model. Lineage: Bacteria; Bacillati; Actinomycetota; Actinomycetes. The record is from RNAcentral.